CUUUUCGUCCCCCUUCCCUUUUCAUCCACGCAGCAGCCAGCCGCCGCAACGACGACGCCGAGUGAGGAGAAAAAAUCGCGUCGCCUUGUGGUCCGUCGCCGGCCGGGGCGAGUGCUGCGAGCCGGUCACGGCGGCAUUGUGGUGCCCCCGCGCUCUCUGCAGCAGCAGCGGCUGCGGUGGUCCCAUGCCGCUCUGCGCCCGCGGCCAUCCACCACAACUGGGCACUCCGCGUCCACCCGUCUCACCUCCGCCGUCGAGGACAAGAGGUACGGUGAGGCACCGGCCCGGGCGGAGGUGGCUGGCGAGACAGCGCCCGCUUGCGUGAUUGAGUUGCCGCCGUCGCACCUUGUGGACUUGCGGCCCCAGGUCGCUGGAGCCAGCCUCCCCGUGUUGUAGUGCUGCUCAUCCUUCAAGUACGACCCGCAAGCUUGGGCCUUCCGGUGGUAGGCGCUCGGCCAUCACGGCACAGAGCUCCUAUCUGUUUCUUACUCUCAGGGAUAAGUGAGAAUAUGUAGCUGAUUGUUGACUCCAACACUUGGAACCCUGCAUCAAUCGGGGGCGGCGUCGAACCAUGUUGGAGGGUCGGCGGCAUCGCACGGCGUGCUAUCCACACCCGGACUAUCGUCAGGAUCGCAAGCUGGGGCGUCCCAACCCUCGCCAGCAUCGCACACUGGACCGUCGCCGUGAGCCGCCUUCAGAGUUGUUUUUAUGUAUUGAGCUUGUGAACUUAGAAUAAUGUGUACUUUUGAACGUGUGGUUUGUAAUAUAUUCUGGAUUUUGUACAAAUUUGAUCGUUUGUGAUAUAUAAAUGUGGUAUGUGAUAUAUUAUUGUUGA
Sorghum bicolor (sorghum) is the source of this 835-nucleotide long non-coding RNA. RefSeq lists it as uncharacterized. The transcript is spliced from 3 exons. Lineage: Eukaryota; Viridiplantae; Streptophyta; Magnoliopsida; Poales; Poaceae. The record is from RefSeq and is a predicted model, not a curated record.